Small nucleolar RNA from Suncus etruscus (white-toothed pygmy shrew), 204 nucleotides. RefSeq annotates it as small nucleolar RNA U3. NCBI's taxonomy places the organism in Eukaryota, Metazoa, Chordata, Mammalia, Eulipotyphla, Soricidae. The transcript has a single exon. The record is from RefSeq and is a predicted model, not a curated record.
AGGAUUAUACUUUCAGGGGUCAUUUGUAUAGUUACUAGAGAAGUUUCUUGGAAUAUGUUGGGUACCAGAAAUGUGAUAAUGAAACAGAACAUCCUCUCCUGAGCAUGAAGCUGGUUUUGCGCAUUGCUCUGUCAGCUACUUUUUGCCAUUGAUGAUGGCUCAUACCUUCUCUAAGAUGGUAUGAAGGCGAGGGUGUAAACUGAG